This is a long non-coding RNA of Pieris napi, 2963 nucleotides long. RefSeq lists it as uncharacterized. The record is from RefSeq and is a predicted model, not a curated record. Lineage: Eukaryota; Metazoa; Arthropoda; Insecta; Lepidoptera; Pieridae. The transcript has 3 exons.
AUAUCGUUACUAGAUAACGAUAUCCGUUAGACUUAACAGUAUAUAAAACCCGAUACUUGUAGAAAGAAUUAGUAUUGUGCUCUAAGUUCGACAUAAGUGAAGUGGUUGGAAAUUUGAAAAGAUAUACCACAAUGGAGUAUGUUUCAGGGAACAUACAAUUUGAAAGAUGUUGAAAAUUGUUUUAAACCUUAUAAUUACUAUACUUCAUUAUCUGAAGAAGAUGAGACGUCCCCAUCUAUUAUCAAGCAUACAAGGACUGUAGAUGAUUUGUUUGUUCAAGAAUCAGAAUAGAAAAGGAAAAAAGUUAUAAUUUCUUCAACUGUUGGUUCAUAAAAGAAGGCACUAUUAAUUAUAUUUCAACUAAUAAAAAUGACGGUGAAGAGUCUGAUCUCAUGAUAAAAAUUGAUGUAUAUAGAAAUUCCGACAUCGCAACAUUGGAAAAAAGCUGAUAUUCGAAUGAAAUACUAAAUAACAUGUAAUUCAAAUACGAAUAAUCAAAUAAAAAGUAUAGUUUAUACUUUAUAACAUCACUAAAGAAAUAUCAGAAGUUAAUAAUAUAAAGCAUUAUUGUUUUAAAAACUAAAUAAUAAAGUAUGACUCAAACAUUAAUUGACUAUAUAAAUUAAAUUACAAUGCAAAGUUUUUGUAAUGUAAUAAUUUGGUAGUUAGUUAAUGACACAAGUAGUUAAGUAAUUACGCUUUCUUGAUCUAUAAAUAGUGUUACAUUCCUUGGACUUUAAAUCAUUGAAGAGUUAACCUUAUACAAUGAACGUCAUGGAGGAGAUAAUGUGUGAAUGUAAACUGCAAAUAAAUCUAUAAAUGAAGAAGUGAAGAAAAUAAUUUACAAAAUGCUUUUUAUGACAGUGCAAUGGCUGAGUUAUGUGUUAAAGUGGAAAAGCAAUUGACCAAACUGGACGAGGUCUUAAACGAGCACAAUAUGAUUCUCACAUCGGUUUUGAAGCGAUUUAAAUCUGAAACACCAUUAUCUUCUGUACCGGAGACAUCGACUUCAAAUUAUGGAUGGAUGGCUAUGGGACUUAAUAAAAGUUUAAAGUCUGCAUAUAACAAAGGGUAAUUUAAUUUUUCGCAAAUUUAUCAAAGUUUAAUUUGCAGUCUGAAGCAAUAUCACUACACCAAUUUCUUUUAUUAUUCGGUACUAGGUAGUUGUGUUGUGUAUCGACAAUCAUUUUUCUGGUGGUUUUCUAAACGUUGAAGCAAUAGAAAAUAUAACAAACAAAAUCACAGAAGUAUUUACUUCUUUUGACUUUGAAAUUUGACUACUUAUUAAUGUUGAUAUAUUUUUUAUGAAACAAUAAUGCCCUAUUUUAACUUGUGUCAAAGUUAUGUGUGUGAGUCGGCAUUCUAUUUCUUGUAUGUUGUACAACAACAAUAUGUUUUAGUUUUUGCUCAUCAUAUUCUAAACCAAAAACCUUAAUAGGUAUCUAGUAGGUAGGUACUAAUUUUCCUAGAUUUUAAAUUUAGGGGUAUGUCAUGAAAUUUAACUAGAAAUUUAAUAAUACCUAACUUUAAUUUAUGACUGUAUUUGGUGUGUGAUGGUAUUCUAUCCGAUUUUUUGUCUAUUGGAAAUAAAGCAGAUAAUAGUGCUCACUUAAAACAGGCGUCAUCAGUGUUUUUAAUAUCCAAAUGUAUCAUAAAUCUGGUAUCUCAAAUUGUAAAUCAUUUUGAUUUUCUGAGCUUACUCUAUUGGUUAUAAUCCUAUUACCGAACGCAGUCUCGAUUAUUUUAACAUUGGGUUUUAUUGAAUGUUGUAUUUUAUCUACAUUAUUUUGUGUACAUUGCUCCGUAGAUGACUAGCGAAAUAUUUUUUGGAAACAUUUGUAUCAUAUACAGCGAAAUUUCGUGUUAGAAUCACCUUCAAUCGAUGUUGAUUGCUCUUGUGCAGACCGUGAAAGAUCCCUGUUAGAUCCAGAUUUUAUUAUUUUGAUGUCAGCAUAGUUAAUAUCAACAUCUGCUUUCGUUUUGGUUCUACGACCCAUUUUAUUACCCUAUCGAAUUAAAUUUUAUUUUAUUUAACUGUUAGGAAUCAAAAAAAUAUAUGAUUAUUAAAUAUACUCGAAAUUUCCCAUCGAAUUCAUCACAUAGCACCAUCAUCGUUUGACCAUGAAAUGAGUAAUUUAAAUAAUUUCUUUAUAUUUCAUCACAAACUUUGAGAAGUUCAAUUGUAUCAAUGGAUAAGCUCAAAUCCAAUUUUCAUUUCAUCAAAAAACACACUAACAUCGUUUCACAACAAAAUUUUUUUGAUGCACACUUUUUACCUUAAUGCGCUAAGGUUUUUAACUAAAAGCACAAUUAUUAUUAAGCACUUUGUGUAAUGCGACAUAGUGUUUAUACUAGUGGAUAACUGAAACUUUAUUAACUAAUUAUGUAUUAGAAUCCGGUAGUUAGUUAAUUAAUGACUAAUUAAGUCAUCGUAUUAAGAAACUAAAUUAACCUAAUUUUGAAAACUGUAAUGUUUUACACUAUCUUCCUCGGAUAUUUCCUUUGUUAUGUUAUAUACAAUAUCCUUUAUCUGAAGAUCAAUGUUGGAAUCGUUUUUCAUGUAAUAUUUAACACGAAUAUGUGCAUUUUUCCAAUGUUGUGAGACCGAGAUUUCUUUCAACAUUUUAAACUAUAUAUUUCAAUUUUCACAAGUAUAUCAGCGUCCAUUCCAUCAUCUUUGUCUGAUGAUAUAUAUGAAAUGCUUCUCUUAUUCCCUGCACGGCCAACAGUUGAAGAAAUUUUAGUUUUUUUCUUUUUCUGGUCAGUCUGGAAAAAAGUCAUCUAAACGAUUGGACCUCUUAUUUAUAUUUACUGUUAUGUUUGAAACGUCUUCUUCAUCAGAUAACACAUAAUAAUUAUAGGGUCUGAAACAUUUUUCCACAUCUUUGAGGUUGUAUUAAGACUGAACUAUAACAUACACAAAUCAAAAUGUGUUUUAAAAAUUAAAUAAGAAUUUAUUGAAA